Molecule: long non-coding RNA, 632 nt
Organism: Daphnia pulicaria
Lineage: Eukaryota; Metazoa; Arthropoda; Branchiopoda; Diplostraca; Daphniidae
Exons: 5
Source: RefSeq, a predicted model, not a curated record
UUCGGAUAAUAAAAAUAAAAAUAUUGGGGUUCUAUUGUCGGUGUCGGUGACAAACGACAAUAUAAUUUGAGCUGUGGCUGUGCCGCUGUGCAACCAACUUUAGAAAUUCAUUACUAGAUGUCGCUAGUGUCGCCCAUGUUGUUACAUCGAUAAACGAGGCUAAUUGGGCGAAACAAAUUGUAGCUAAUUAUUACCUAUAUUCCUGUGAUUUCAUUUACCAAAUUGAACUUCAUAACUUAUAUGCAACUGUCAGUCAUUCCAACAAGUUGACUUAGCGCUUAUAGUCACUUUCCAUCCAAUAGACUCAUCAUGCUGUCAAAAGCCUAAAAUUAAAUUUUGAAGCCCACGUAUAGUGGAAUACAAAUCUGCUGAGAUAAGAUCUUUUCUGAAUCUCGCAAUUUUGGUGGUGUACCCUGAAACAGCAUGUUUUUUGUUAUGGCUGUUUCUACUUCUAUUUAGAAGGCAACACAGAUGAGGGAUAGAGUUUUAGAGACAUGAAGAGUGUGAAGUGACCUGACAUGUAUUUACUAGAUCUGCUUGAUGAAAGUCAAAUUCCUUACUAAAUUCAUCACCUGUAUGAUAAAGCAUCAGGAAAUUUAUCUCAACAUGUGGAUUUAUGCUGUUGGUUGCUG